Molecule: ribosomal RNA, 442 nt
Filed under: uncultured bacterium
Lineage: Bacteria
Description: partial 16S ribosomal RNA
Rfam family: Bacterial small subunit ribosomal RNA
Source: RNAcentral
CCUACGGGAGGCAGCAGUGGGGAAUAUUUGGCAAUGGGCGCAAGCCUGACCCAGCAACGCCGCGUGAGGGAAGAAGGCUCUCGGGUUGUAAACUUCUUUUAAUAGGGAAGAGCAGAAGACGGUACCUCUUGAAUAAGCCACGGCUAACUACGUGCCAGCAGCCGCGGUCAUACGUAGGUGGGAAGCGUUGUCCGGAUUUACUGGGUGUAAAGGGCGUGUAGCCGGGCUGACAAGUCAGGUGUGAAAUCCCGUGGCUCAACCACGGAACUGCAUUUGAAACUGUCGGUCUUGAGUAUCGGAGAGGCAGGCGGAAGUCGUAGAGUAGCGGUGAAAUGCGUAGAUAUUAGGAGGAACACCAGUGGCGAAGGCGGCCUGCUGGACGACAACUGACGGUGAGGCGCGAAAGCGUGGGGAGCGAACAGGAUUAGAUACCCCAGUAGUC